This 1676-nucleotide long non-coding RNA is filed under the name Homo sapiens (human). RNAcentral describes it as "PREDICTED lncRNA (TCONS_00272137)". The record is from RNAcentral. Lineage: Eukaryota; Metazoa; Chordata; Mammalia; Primates; Hominidae.
GAAAGAUUAGACUUGCUGAGUCUUACUUACAGCCCUCAUCUUUUUUUUCUGUGCUGGAUGCUUUCUGCCUUCAAACACUGGACUCUAAAUUCUCGAGCUUUUGGACACUUGGAUUUACACAGGGCUCUCAGGCCUUCACCCACAAACUGAAGGCUACACUGUCAGCUUCCCUACUUUUGAGGUUUUGGGAUUCGGACUGGCUUCCUUGCUCCUCGGCUUGCAGCUGGCCUAUUGUUGGACUUCACUUUGGAAUCGUGUAGAAGUAUGAUAGUUGAACUUUAUUGUGCUCUAGAAAAAGCAAUAAACCCUUCUGCAAACUUCAUAAGAUAGCACAGUAAAAGGAACUCUACACCAAGAGGACAUUUUCCCUUCAAAAUAACAAAGCAGAACACAAAGUAAAUCAAAGCAUAUAAACGGAGAAAGGAAUUCCGUUGCCUUUGAAAUUGAACUCCAGAAAUAAUUUACUUAAAAAGAGUUCCUCAGAUAUAGCUUGAAGUCUAAAGACAAUCAUUGAUCAUCAACUGGUAUUCUCUUACUCCAUCAGCACUCCAGAUACAAAGCAAGAGAAAACCCAGAGUAAAAAAUUUAAAUGGACAAUAUUUCAUCUGCAACCUGGAAAGUCUUCUAUGCUUGCUGUUGUAUUGACUUUCCUACUUAUCUCAGAAAAUUGUGCAUUUAAUCAUCUCUCUCUAUUUUCUUUGACUCUUUUCCAGUGAGAGAGUAUAAGAUUGUUUACCUAAAGACCUCGAAGUCUAGCAAGAUAGGAAGCAAGUUGUUACUUAAGCAGGUUGGGGGGGCAUUAUGGGCACAAUGAAAAUUAAUCAUUGGUUCUCUUUGCCUAUCAAAAUACAUCGUUCACAUAGGACCCCUUUCCCCAAUAAAUUUAGAUCAUGCCUACUCUAGAAAAGGAAUCACAGCAUUGUCACUUCUUGAUGUUGUGAAGUAAUUUGUAAUGCGCAGAAAUGAUUUGAAUACAUGUCCCAACAGAGCUUUGUGAAGGAAACUCAAAGCUAUUCUGACAUAAUAGCAAAUGAUAGCAGAGAAGGGACUGAAGCACUGCAGCAAACCCAAAAUUGUUCCAAUAUUCAGCUGCUAGAACAAAAAAGAAAAGCCUCACUACUGAACCUUUUUCAUUUCGUAUAGCUGCUCAAAAUUUAGAAAACUCAUAGACCAUAAUCCAUUAAAACAGCAUCUAUUACAUCAAGUUCUAAUUGCUAAACUUGCUGGUAAAUCCUUGGGGUAAAGAGAUUGGAACUCUUCCAUUUUCAAUAAAGAUUAUUUGUAAAACUAAAAAAAAAUCCAUGAGACAAUCUGAUAGAUGUCUCAUUAUUCCUGAUCUGUGUUCUUUUUUAUUUCUUAGCCCUACCUCUACAACCGAUUAAAAUGCUUAGCCUAAAUACUUUCACCAUUUCAAAGAAACCACUACAAAAAGUGCUAUUUUUUGGCCGGGCGUGGUGGCUCACGCCUGUAAUCCCAGCACUUUGGGAGGCCAGGCGGGCGGAUCACGAGAUCAGGAGAUCGAGACCAUCCUAGCUAACACGGUGAAACCCUGUUUCUACUAAAAAAAUACAAAAACAUAAUUAGCCGGGCGUGGUGGCAGGUGCCUGUAGUCCCAGCUACUCGGGAGGCUGAGGCAGGAGAAUGGCGUGAACCCGGAAGGCGGAGCCUGCAGUGAG